Bemisia tabaci is the source of this 796-nucleotide long non-coding RNA. RefSeq lists it as uncharacterized. The record is from RefSeq and is a predicted model, not a curated record. Lineage: Eukaryota; Metazoa; Arthropoda; Insecta; Hemiptera; Aleyrodidae.
UUCCGCGGCUUGGUCUUGGUCUUGAGGAUUUCAUCUCUCGGAUCUUGUUUCGAACUUCGAAGUGAUAAUGUGAUUACUUACGCAUUAUUUUAAUUAAAUAUCAAUAUCAAUUAAAGUAAUAUUCUGUCUUUGGGUGCAGACAAUCCAUUUUGUUCCGCGGCUUGGUCUUGAGGAUUUCUACGUACUCUACUAACCUCGUAAUUCUCACAUUUCUCAUUUUUUCAACUCGCGGAUCUUGUUUCGAGCUUCCAAGUGAUAACGUGAUUACUUAUGCAUUAUUUUAAUUAAAUAUCAAUUAAAGUAAUAUUCUGUCUUUGGGUGCAGACAAUCCACCAACUAAGCUACUUUAGAAAUUUCGGAUGAUGAUCCACGGAAAGUGCCGAUUAUGACAAGUCAAGAUACUAAUUGAAGAAUACUCAAGUUGUUUUUUGACAAAAAAACCUAUUGAGGAUCUCUUGGACAGGAGCUUGCCUGUAUUAAGAAGUUCAUGGGUGGCAGAGAAACAAAGUCCUGUUGAUACUUUGACAGUGUCACUCAAAGCCAGUAGCAUCGUACCUACAGCGUAUCUUUUCUCCAACUGCUUCAUGAACCUCUUUGUAGCUACCUCAUGAAUUAAGAUACUAAUAAUUGAAGAAACUCAAGUUGUUUUUUGACAAAAAACCCUAUUGAGGAUCUCUUGGACAGGAGCUUGCCUGUAUUAAGAAGUUCAUGGGUGGCAGAGAAACAAAGUCCUGUUGAUACUUUGACAGUCUUAGCCUUUUUGUCAACAUACAUAUUCUGAUUUAUGCAAAUUGAA